Molecule: ribosomal RNA, 4255 nt
Filed under: Fasciola gigantica
Lineage: Eukaryota; Metazoa; Platyhelminthes; Trematoda; Plagiorchiida; Fasciolidae
Description: 28S ribosomal RNA
Rfam family: Eukaryotic large subunit ribosomal RNA (bases 1-3729)
Source: RNAcentral
CACAAGCACAUUGGUUCACUUGACAUCCGAAGGCUUUUAUUUAAAACAGUUCAAAAUAGGGGGAAAGGAAUUGCACAAAUGUUGAACACCACGCCGAUAACAAGGGCCCCUUUUGAAGUUCAUUGGCACCCAUUACUUAUCCCAGAUUAUAUUCAACCCUAGAUCCUGGCUAUUCACUGAGAGGCUUAUUUUCCUAUUUUAUUCAUCAAGUUGAUCAGGAUGUUACUUGCUACGGAAUGGAUUGGCACAUUGCCAACAGCCGGAUUGGUUUGUUUAGUAAACAGCACGAUGGUUUGGCGAACAAUCAGCACACCGUCGCCCAUCCUGAAUCGAGGACAAAAUCGAAGGGAACGAAAUGGACGGAAGAGCCAAUCAGAUGCCAGCUAUUGUCUGAACCAGGUAAACGCGUGCCAUGUACGCGCCGCGGACAUCUGCGGAGUCUGGUUGCUUGUUGCUUGUAGGCCAGGCCAGGUUGAUGGCUCGGUGUCGUGCCGUCGCCGGUAUCGCGAUUUGUACUGCACUUAUGAAAGGGCCCACCCAGUCUGUGUGUAAGUGGAUAGACUAUCAUCUCCGCCUCGUUGUACGUUAUUCAGGAUACAUACGCCCUCGGAGACUGUGUAACAUUAUGUCACACUCCGCUAGUCGAUGGGCGUUAAACGAAAACCCAAGAACGACAGUGAAAGUGAAGGCUCGGCUGUUCGGGAGCUGAGGUGAGAUGCCUGUCGUUUCUCAUGUCGGCCACAAAAUAAACAGGUUACUACGAAAGCUAAUCGAGCGGGCAGGCGCAUCACCGGCCCGUUCCCAUGGACGUAGAGGCAGAUUCGUGCUUGCUCAUCGUCGGGGCGGAGCAUAGAGACGACAUGUGAGAGACCCGAAAGUGCGUAACUAUGCUUGCGACAGGUUGAAACAGGAGAACUCUGGUGCGAGGACCCGCAGCAUCUCGACGAUGCAAAUCGAUCCUUACCAACAGUGAGAUAUAGCGCGCGAAAGACUAAUCGAACCACUCUAGUAAGCUGUGUUCCCUGCGAAGUUUCCCUCAGGAUAGAGCUCGGCCAUAUCUGGGAAAUCCCCAUAAACAUUUUCCGGUAAAGCGAAUGAUUAGAGGCAUUGGGGCAAAACGUCCUAACCUAUUACUCAAAACUUUAAAUCGGGUGCAGAAGACCAACUUAACUCGUCAAAACGCAGACUGGCCCAGAUUGAAUGUAGAGAGUAAUGCAGAUGGAGCCCAUUUCUUGUAAGCAGAGCUGCGGCGCUGGUGGGAAGACACACGUUCGUUACAGGAUGAAAACCUAAGCGCGCAACGCCAAUGAGAUACCACAAAACGGUGUCUGUUGGUUCCAGAAGCACAGGACCGGGGCCCAUGAAGUUGGAAUCGUAAGGACGUGUCUGUAAAACAACUCACCUUGCCGAAUCAAACCAGCCCUGAAACAUGGAUGGCGCUGGAGCGUCGGACCUAUAACGCGGACAGUCAUUGCAAGCUGAAGUCGUAAAAACUGUAUCGGUGUGAGAGGCAACCACAAAAUGACUCCGGCGCGGAAUUGUGCGACGAGAUAGGAGGAGUCGCCGUGAAGUGACUGGAAGCUUUCGGGCGUGAGACUGAGUGGCGCCGCCACGGGUGACAGAUCUUAGUAGGUGAUGCAAAAUUCAAGUAGAGAAACCUUGAAGAAGCGCCGAGGUGAGACAGGGUUCCAAAUGGAACAGAUGGCCAUGGAGUUCAGCGUCAUAAGAUGAUCCAGGUAAAUCGGUGCAAAGAACGGAGUGACCUGACAUUGUCAGGACUUGCUGCCAUUGAUAAUGUCAGCACGGUUGCCCCAACCUGUACGAAAAGGAAGCGGGUUAAUUUCCACGACCCUCCCACGGAAACUUGGUGGGCUUCUUGGCUUCGGUUCAGUUCUAGCAACACUGGCGCUGCUAACGCAAUCGAUCGGAGGACGUCGGCGAGAGUUCUGCGGAAGAGUUCUCUUUUCUGUUUAGGAGUGCAACCAUCCCUGGAAACGGGUUGUUCACGAAGAUAAGGACUCAGCCUCGUAAAGCACACCCUUCUUGUGCGUGUCCGAACACUCCUUAGAUCGGCCUUGAAUACAUCCGACGCGAGGAAUAUAAUUUUCGUGCACGGCCGACCAUAUUCCGCAUCAGGUUCUUCCAAGUGAACAGCCUCUGGCAUUGAAACAAUGUCAGGGUAAAGGCGACAAGUCGGCAAAUUGGAUCCGAACUUUCGGGAAAAAGAUUGGCUCAUGCAAGGGCCGAGUCUCAAACGGGCUUGAAGUAAGAUUACGUGCCUCGGUUCAAGUUGGAGGACUUGGUUUCUUUUCCUUGUCUCGCUCGGUGGGAUAGGGUUGACGGCAGUUACUGAACUCUGACCCAUCCGGUCGUACCGGGCGACUUCAGACUACAGAGUUGCUUGGCAAGCGGAUGUGCACAUGAAGUACACUGUUCGUGCGCAUGCGGUUUGCUCAUCUUCGUCUCGCGUUCAACGGCAUAACUCAGAACUGAGCACUGACCAGAGAAUCCGACUGUCUACAUUAAAACAAAGCAUUGCAGAUGAUCCACUGAAUCCGGUUUUUGACGCAAUGUGAUAUUACUGCCAAGUGCUCCUGAACUGUCAACGUGAAAAAUUCAAUAUCAAGCGCAGGGUAAACGGACAAGGAAAGUAUAUGACUCUCAUUAAGCAUAGCCAAAUGCCUCAGUCAAUUAAUAUUAGUGACGCGCGAUGAUGGCAAUUAGACGAGAUUACUACUGUCCCUAUUACAGUAUCUAGCGAACCACAACCAAGGGACGGGCUUGGCAGAAUUAGCGGAAACGGAAAGAGACCCCUGAUUUAGAGCUUGGACAUUAGUCGACUUUGUGAGACGAAUGACCGCGUGCUAGAACAGUGGCGAGACGGUCCUUCGGGGCUUGUCGACAGCUGAAUACCACCACCGUCACUUAGUGUUCUUUGCUUAUUCAGUAAAAACGGGAAAUUAGAAUUUGUUCUAAGCAAACAAUCUGCUGGCGUCCGUGCGUAUGCUGCGGAGGGUUAGUAUCUUAGUCAUGUCAGAUAAGUCGUAAGAUCUCGCGCGGCGUUUGAGUUGAUUGUGAUGUGCACCCUUCUGAACGACAACUGUCAGGCGGGAGUUUAGACUGGGGACCGUACAUCUGAUCAAUAAGUAACGCAAGGUCCAAAAGGUGAGCUCAAGCCAGGCGGAAACCUGCGUGGAAGUACAAAAGGCCAAAAGACUUACUGUUUUGGAUUUUCAGUACGAAUACAACAGACGUGAAAGCGUGGCCUAUCGACCUUUUGAUCCGAUAUUCAGAGUUUGAAGCAGACGGUGUCAUAAAAAAGUUACGACAGGAUAAACUGCUUAUGUGGCGGCCAAGCGUCUCACUAGCGACGUCGCUUUUUGAUCUUCGCAUGUCGAUGCAUUUCCUAGCGUCUGUGACGCAGAACUUCACCAAGCGUUGAGAUUUCAACCAUAAUAGGACGUGAGCUGGGUUCUAGACCGUUCGUGAGACAGGUUGUUUUACACCUUACUAAUGGUACAUGAAACAAGUGAGUUACACAACUGCCGUUGACUAUCGGUAAUCCUGAUUAGUACGAGAGGAAACCGCAGGUUCAGACAUUUGGUACUAUGUGCCUGGUCGAAAAGGCAAUAGGUGCCGAAGCUUCACAUCUGAGGGCAUUAGGAAACUGAAGGCUCUAAGUCUGACAUCCGAUCACAGAUAUGCAACGUAUUUCAGGGCCUGACACGUGGCUAGAAGCCUACGUAUUACUGCCGGUGCUACUGGUUCAGGCUAUGCUGCACUGGAUAGUAAACGGUGGUUGAAUGUACGCAAGAGCAGAUAUGACCGGAAACUUACCUCUAACUUCAGGAUUAUGCGAGGUCGACGACGAAUAGCCAAAUGUGCGAAAUGAGCGUGAAGGCAAAUAAAUCGUUUUGACACUUAAUGUUUUUUGUCGGGCAGACGUCAAGUGUGAAAGAGCAGCUAUCACACUACGCCGAGACACUGAGUCCUACACUUAACUGACCGUAAUGAAUUUGGCCACGGAUCCUCGUUCAUUAAGGGCCGGUCAAGAGGCCCGCCGGCGAACGACACUCGAAUAUGUGCAUACCAGUGUCACAAAUACCUCUGACUGUAUACUCCAAAUCAAUCGAUUGAGUACAGGAACCAUGGGGCCCCGUCUGCCCUACAUGCUUUUGGGCUCCAUAGAACAUUUCGUCCUGCCGGUCCCCCAUUAUGUGUGCCGAGUGCUGACUGACUUGUGAUGCUCCUUUGU